GCGAACGCUGGCGGCAGGCCUAACACAUGCAAGUCGAACGGACCCUUCGGGGUUAGUGGCGGACGGGUGAGUAACACGUGGGAACGUGCCUUUAGGUUCGGAAUAGCUCCUGGAAACGGGUGGUAAUGCCGAAUGUGCCCUUCGGGGGAAAGAUUUAUCGCCUUUAGAGCGGCCCGCGUCUGAUUAGCUUGUUGGUGGGGUAAUGGCCCACCAAGGCUACGAUCAGUAGCUGGUCUGAGAGGAUGACCAGCCACAUUGGGACUGAGACACGGCCCAAACUCCUACGGGAGGCAGCAGUGGGGAAUCUUGCGCAAUGGGCGAAAGCCUGACGCAGCCAUGCCGCGUGUAUGAUGAAGGCCUUAGGGUUGUAAAGCUCUUUUACCCGAGAUGAUAAUGACAGUAUCGGGAGAAUAAGCCCCGGCUAACUCCGU
This 431-nucleotide ribosomal RNA is filed under the name uncultured bacterium. Its description in RNAcentral is "bacterial SSU rRNA". It matches the Rfam family "Bacterial small subunit ribosomal RNA", at positions 29 to 506 of the family's 1533-position model. The record is from RNAcentral.